Molecule: ribosomal RNA, 500 nt
Filed under: uncultured bacterium
Lineage: Bacteria
Description: partial 16S ribosomal RNA
Rfam family: Bacterial small subunit ribosomal RNA
Source: RNAcentral
AUUGAACGCUGGCGGAAUGCUUUACACAUGCAAGUCGAACGGCAGCACGGACUUCGGUCUGGUGGCGAGUGGCGAACGGGUGAGUAAUGUAUCGGAACGUGCCCAGUCGUGGGGGAUAACGUAGUGAAAAUUACGCUAAUACCGCAUACGAUCUAUGGAUGAAAGCGGGGGAUCGCAAGACCUCGCGCGAUUGGAGCGGCUGAUAUCAGAUUAGGUAGUUGGUGGGGUAAAGGGCAACCAAGCCCACGAUCUGUAGCUGGUCUGAGAGGACUACCAGCCACACUGGAACUGAGACACGGUCCAGACUCCUACGGGAGGCAGCAGUGGGGAAUUUUGGACAAUGGGCGAAAGCCUGAUCCAGCCAUUCCGCGUGCAGGAUGAAGGCCCUCGGGUUGUAAACUGCUUUUGUACAGAACGAAAAGGUUUCUACUAAUACUAGGAGCUCAUGACGGUACUGUAAGAAUAAGCACCGGCUAACUACGUGCCAGCCGCCGCCGUAA